This 30-nucleotide non-coding RNA is filed under the name Mus musculus (house mouse). The record is from RNAcentral. Lineage: Eukaryota; Metazoa; Chordata; Mammalia; Rodentia; Muridae.
UGAGAUUAAAGGCAUGCACCAACACAAUAU